CGGGAAAGUAUGCAGUUUCAUACUAUAACUUCGAUAAGUAAUAGCAGAAUUGACUCCGGUUUUCUUAUAUAAUAAAAGAGCAAAUAAAACCUUCUCUGUGUGAUUUGAAUGCCCGACUAAUAUAAUAUUUCCGACUUUGUAUGGUUUCAGAGGAGUUACAGCUCAAUGAAAUCGGUCUCUUCCUUUAGAGGUAUAUAAAAAAAACUGCAAAAAUAUGUUAAAAAUAACUCCAAAUGGGUUGUUAGAUUUCAGAAUAGAUAUUUCGUAUGGUGCUGAUUAUUUUAUUCUUUACACUAGCUCCUAUAUCAUUUUAAA
This 315-nucleotide long non-coding RNA is filed under the name Mytilus galloprovincialis (Mediterranean mussel). Lineage: Eukaryota; Metazoa; Mollusca; Bivalvia; Mytilida; Mytilidae. The record is from RNAcentral.